This 329-nucleotide ribosomal RNA is filed under the name uncultured eukaryote. Its description in RNAcentral is "partial 18S ribosomal RNA". It matches the Rfam family "Eukaryotic small subunit ribosomal RNA", at positions 1470 to 1796 of the family's 1831-position model. The record is from RNAcentral.
CCCUUAGAUGUUCUGGGCCGCACGCGCGCUACACUGAUGCAUUCAACGAGUCUAAAACCUGCUCUGAUAUGGGUGGGUAAUCUUUUGAAUGUGCAUCGUGAUUGGGAUAGAUGAUUGAAAUUUUUCAUCUUCAACGAGGAAUGCCUAGUAAACGCAAGUCAUCAGCUUGCAUUGAUUACGUCCCUGCCCUUUGUACACACCGCCCGUCGCUCCUACCGAUUGAAUGAUCCGAUGAAUAUCAUGGAUUGAGGAUGCAAGUAGGUUCACCUAUCUUCAUCUUCGAGAAGUGAAGUAAAUCUUAUCAUUUAGAGGAAGGAGAAGUCGUAACA